Molecule: ribosomal RNA, 405 nt
Filed under: uncultured bacterium
Lineage: Bacteria
Description: partial 16S ribosomal RNA
Rfam family: Bacterial small subunit ribosomal RNA
Source: RNAcentral
GAUGAACGCUGGCGGCGUGCCUAAUACAUGCAAGUCGAGCGCAGCGUGGACGCGUGUCUAACCCGUCUAUAACCUCCUAUAAGACUUGGAUAACUUCGGGACACCUGAUCUCAACCUGAUCCUUAUAGAUUGUUCCGCGGUGCAUUAGCUAGUGGGUAAGGUAACGGCUUACCAGAGCAACGAUGCAUAGCCGACCUGAGAGGGUGAUCGGCCACACGGGAACUGAGACACGGUCCCGACUCCUACGGGCGGCAGCAGUAGGGAAUCUUCCGCAAUGUGCGAAAGCCUGACGGAGAAACGCCGCGUGAGUGAUGAAGGUCUUCGGAUCGUAAAACUCUGUUAUUAGGGAAGCGGUAACUAAACAGAAAGCAACGGCUAACUACGUGCCAGCAGCCGCGGUAAUUC